GGGAAUGUGGCUUAGUGGUAGAGUGCUUGCCUGGCAUGCAUGAAGCCCUGGGUUCGAUUCCUCAGUACCA
Non-coding RNA from Dipodomys ordii (Ord's kangaroo rat), 70 nucleotides. NCBI's taxonomy places the organism in Eukaryota, Metazoa, Chordata, Mammalia, Rodentia, Heteromyidae. The record is from Rfam.